UGAAGCCGGAAUUGCUAGUAAUGGCAGGUCAGCAUACUGCCGUGAAUACGUUCCCGGGCCUUGUACACACCGCCCGUCACACCAUGGGAGUCGGGAAUGCCCGAAGCCGGCGGCCUAACCGAAAGGGGGGAGCCGUCGAAGGCAGGCCCGGUGACUGGGGUGAAGUCGUAACAAGGUACC
This 180-nucleotide ribosomal RNA is filed under the name uncultured bacterium. Its description in RNAcentral is "partial 16S ribosomal RNA". It matches the Rfam family "Bacterial small subunit ribosomal RNA", at positions 1321 to 1500 of the family's 1533-position model. The record is from RNAcentral.